RNAcentral lists this unclassified non-coding RNA (471 nucleotides) under Hevea brasiliensis (rubber tree). The record is from RNAcentral. Lineage: Eukaryota; Viridiplantae; Streptophyta; Magnoliopsida; Malpighiales; Euphorbiaceae.
UUUUUUUUUUUUUUUUUGAGGUGUCAAUUGUAAUUUGUGAUAGAAUUUAUAAUUAUCUAUUGCAUCUAUGUAGUUUAGUGGCUUGCUAAGACUUUAUGUAACUGUUUUAGAUUUAUUUUACUAUUGUUAUGUGUUCAUGCAGAUAGUUAAACACUUUAGGGUGACUUUAGCUUGGUUUUAGUUGAAAGCAUUUGGAAAUUGGGAACUUUAACUUGUGGAGUAUGUGAAUUAAAGUAUGUUGUUUUCUUUUAUUUUUUUAAAUUUUUUUGGGAAGUGAUAUAAAUGAACUUCAUAAAGUUAGUCAUUAUUUUAGUGAGCUUGGAUCUAUUUGCCAUUUGCAUGUGGUGCAUAAAGUUUCAAUAUUGAAAAGGAAAAGAAUUAACUUUUUAUUGUGUCUUGUUCACUUUUGUUUGGGGUUUUCAGUUUGUGUAUUUAAGUUGCAUGUGCUGGAUUUUCCAUGGAAACAGAGGU